RNAcentral lists this transfer RNA (42 nucleotides) under Cynara baetica. Its description in RNAcentral is "partial tRNA-His". The record is from RNAcentral. Lineage: Eukaryota; Viridiplantae; Streptophyta; Magnoliopsida; Asterales; Asteraceae.
GGCGGAUGUAGCCAAGUGGAUCAAGGCAGUGGAUUGUGAACC